This 349-nucleotide ribosomal RNA is filed under the name Thermobia domestica (firebrat). RNAcentral describes it as "eukaryotic LSU rRNA". It matches the Rfam family "Eukaryotic large subunit ribosomal RNA", at positions 666 to 946 of the family's 3401-position model. Lineage: Eukaryota; Metazoa; Arthropoda; Insecta; Zygentoma; Lepismatidae. The record is from RNAcentral.
CCAAGGAGUGUAACAUGUGCGCGAGUCAUUGGGAAUUACUAAACCCAAAGGCGUAAUGAAAGUAAAGGUCUCUGUAUAGAGACUGAGGGAAGAUGGAGACCUUUCCUUUGGAAGGGUUGAAACGGCCUCUCUGUUGCCUAACACGGGCCCUCCCGCAUUCCCGGGGCGUCUCGUUCUCAUUGCGAGAUGAGGCGCACCUAGAGCGUACAUGUUGGGACCCGAAAGAUGGUGAACUAUNCCCGCCCAGGACGAAGUCAGGGGAAACCCUGGUGGAGGUCCGUAGCGAUUCUGACGUGCAAAUCGAUCGUCGGAGCUAGGUAUAGGGGCGAAAGACUAAUCGAACCAUCUA